AUAGGUACAGUUUUUGAGGACUGCAGGGGAAAUAUACAGUAACUCUGCUGUGUAAACUGCGACAGGUUGAGGGCUGCUUCAUCAGUGAGACAACUCUUGGUACAAUGUUUAAGACAUUGUUUGAAACUAAACAAACUGUCCAGAGAGAUGCUUGAAUUUUAUUUACUACAGCAGCAUGUGAUUUCAUGACCUUUAAGCAAAGUUUCAGCACCUGUGAUUCUAUGAUUCUAAAGCCUACUGCUCACUAAAUCUGCCAAGGGAUAUUUAAGUGCUGUAGGUAGGGAAAUGCAUUGAUCUGGGUGGGGAAGUGCAACCAUUUCUGGGUAGAAUCAGACUCAGCCCUCCCUGAAGGCUGUGUUAGCAGUUUGGGAGUUCUUCUGGACUCAGCUCUGCUUGUGGAAGCAUGAGUGGUGAUGGCAGCCAGGAGUGUGUUACCAGCUCAGGUUGGUACACUAGUUGUGACCCUGCAUAAGCAAAAGGCAGGUACUAGUGACAUCCAUGAGACAUAAGCAGAGCUGCUUUUGGAGAAAACUUGGAAUCUUGCUUGUUAGGGCUGGAUGAUCAGAGCUUAUUACACUGUUUCUGUACCAGUUUAACUGGGCCCAAUUUGAACGGCUGCUUUUAGUCUUUAAAACACUGAACUGUUUGGGAGGCACGGUGUGUGUUCAUUGCCUCCCAAAUGCCAAGCGCUGGGCUAGCAAAGCUGCUUCUAUGGGAAUUUGGCUGUGUAGUCCCCACAGAAUCAAAGGCAAGUUAGGAAGUGGCCAGUAGGCACCUGAAAAGUGGGAGGGGACUGUUUCUUCUGAUUUGGGGAGCUAACAUUUGGCCCCUUCAAUAAGACUGGAAUAUGCAGAGCAUAGGGAUGCGGGUGCCCCUUGCACUGCACUUCUCCAGCUGGCUUUGGGGCACUUGAGGGGCACUGUGCAAGGGACUUUGACAGGUGGGCAGAACAACCCACUCGUCUAUCACUUGUUGGUGUAAUGUCAGAGUUGGCCCAUGGGGUGGAAACAAAUAAGGACCUGGCCCACUGGGCCAAAAAGGUCCCCCCCCCUAAA
Molecule: long non-coding RNA, 1055 nt
Organism: Podarcis raffonei (Aeolian wall lizard)
Lineage: Eukaryota; Metazoa; Chordata; Lepidosauria; Squamata; Lacertidae
Exons: 2
Source: RefSeq, a predicted model, not a curated record